CUACGGGAGGCUGCAGUGGGGAAUAUUGGACAAUGGGGGAAACCCUGAUCCAGCAAUGCCGCGUGUGUGAAGAAGGCCUGCGGGUUGUAAAGCACUUUCGGUUGGGAGGACUGCUUCUAGCACUAAUAUUGUUGGAAGUUGACGUUACCUUCAGAAGAAGCACCGGCUAGCUCCGUGCCAGCAGCCGCGGUAAUACGGGGGGUGCAAGCGUUAAUCGGAAUUACUGGGCGUAAAGCGCGCGUAGGCGGCUAGAUCAGUCGGGUGUGAAAGCCCCGGGCUUAACCUGGGAACUGCAUCCGAUACUGUCUAGCUUGAGUACAGGAGAGGAGGGUGGAAUUCCACAUGUAGCGGUGAAAUGCGUAGAUAUGUGGGGGAACACCAAUGGCGAAGGCAGCUCUCUGGCCUGAUACUGACGCUGAGGUGCGAAAGCGUGGGGAGCAAACAGGAUUAGAUACCCCAGUAGUC
Molecule: ribosomal RNA, 465 nt
Filed under: uncultured bacterium
Lineage: Bacteria
Description: partial 16S ribosomal RNA
Rfam family: Bacterial small subunit ribosomal RNA
Source: RNAcentral